ACUCCUACGGGAGGCAGCAGUGGGGAAUAUUGCACAAUGGGCGCAAGCCUGAUGCAGCCAUGCCGCGUGUGUGAAGAAGGCCUUCGGGUUGUAAAAGCACUUUUCAGUCGUGAGGAAGGUAGUGUAGUUAAUAGCUGCAUUAUUUGACGUUAGCGACAGAAGAAGCACCGGCUAACUCCGUGCCAGCAGCCGCGGUAAUACGGAGGGGGUUAGCGUUGUUCGGAAUUAACUGGGCGUAAAGCGCACGUAGGCGGAUCGGAAAGUUGGGGUGAAAUCCCGGGGCUCAACCCCGGAACGGCCUCCAAAACUAUCGGUCUAGAGUUCGAGAGAGGUGAGUGGAAUUCCGAGUGUAGAGGUGAAAUUCGUAGAUAUUCGGAGGAACACCAGUGGCGAAGGCGGCUCACUGGCUCGAUACUGACGCUGAGGUGCG
This 430-nucleotide ribosomal RNA is filed under the name uncultured bacterium. Its description in RNAcentral is "bacterial SSU rRNA". It matches the Rfam family "Bacterial small subunit ribosomal RNA", at positions 335 to 755 of the family's 1533-position model. The record is from RNAcentral.